Molecule: long non-coding RNA, 611 nt
Organism: Alligator mississippiensis (American alligator)
Lineage: Eukaryota; Metazoa; Chordata; Crocodylia; Alligatoridae
Exons: 3
Source: RefSeq, a predicted model, not a curated record
CUAAAUCCAUUAAUUUAAAAACUAGGUUAUGUAAAGGAUUGAACAACAUUCUCCAUUACUUUAUUUCAAAGCUGUAUGCUCUCCCUUUGUGAUCCUUGGAAUUCUGCACACAGGAAAUGACCUUUUUAAGGUUCCAAAACUGUCAGCUCACAACAAGCAAGGCUUAGAAAAAGCAUACAUCGUCUCUGUUAUUGUAUUUAUCUCUUGUUUUAAUUCCUUAUUUUGUAAUUCACUCCUUUUGAAGGUUUCAGAAUGAAAUAGCAUUGUGUUUAAAAAAAAAAAAGCAAGACAAAGCUGGAUCUGGAGCUAAGAAUGGUCUUAUAUCAAAUUUCAAGUCCAGGCAAAAGAGAUCUGAAAUAAGCUUCAAGACUGAAUCCAUGUCACAACCAAAGUCAACAGCAAUGCCUUCAGUGAGACGAUUUCAUGCCAAAUGCUUCCUGAGCUGAUGUUUCAAGAGUUUUGAAGUUUACUCAUCUCUAGUCUCUAAUGAUCCAAGAAUCUGUCUACUUUCUUUUCUAUUCUAAGGCACUACUGUCAGUGAUGUGAACAACAGUUUCAUGGGAAAAAAUAAGAAAACUAUGAUUGCAAGUCUUAAAUGUGUGAGUCAAGGA